This 283-nucleotide ribosomal RNA is filed under the name uncultured prokaryote. RNAcentral describes it as "partial 16S ribosomal RNA". It matches the Rfam family "Bacterial small subunit ribosomal RNA", at positions 524 to 817 of the family's 1533-position model. The record is from RNAcentral.
UACGUAGGGGGCUAGCGUUAUCCGGAAUUACUGGGCGUAAAGGGUGCGUAGGUGGUUUCUUAAGUCGGAGGUGAAAGGCUACGGCUCAACCGUAGUAAGCCUUUGAAACUGGGAAACUUGAGUGCAGGAGAGGAGAGUGGAAUUCCUAGUGUAGCGGUGAAAUGCAUAGAGAUUGGGAGGAACACCAGUGGCGAAGGCGACUUACUGGGCCGUAACUGACGUUGAUGCGCGAAAGCGUGGGGAGCGAACAGGAUUAGAUACCCCUGUAGUCCCUGAGCGGGCU